Gastrolobium bilobum is the source of this 107-nucleotide small nucleolar RNA. NCBI's taxonomy places the organism in Eukaryota, Viridiplantae, Streptophyta, Magnoliopsida, Fabales, Fabaceae. The record is from RefSeq and is a predicted model, not a curated record.
ACCCUGUGGUUAGGACAUUUCUUGAUAAAGUCCUUGUAUCUCUCCCAUGCUUCAUGGAGAUUCUCUCCAUAAAACAUUUUGAAGCUAGAGAUUUUAGCUCUUACAUU